GAAGAAACCCACAUACAGCGCUGCAGCUCUCCUCUGUUUUAUCGGCACCCAACUCCAAUUCCUCUGUUCCCCACAAACUUGUGUGUAGGUUCAUUCACCAGUGUUUUGGGCGCUAGGCGAAGAACAGGGCCUAUUAGAUUCUCCAAGUUGCUGAAUCCAAUUCAUUCAGUUUCAAAGAAAAA
Cucurbita maxima (winter squash) is the source of this 182-nucleotide long non-coding RNA. RefSeq lists it as uncharacterized. The record is from RefSeq and is a predicted model, not a curated record. The transcript has 2 exons. Lineage: Eukaryota; Viridiplantae; Streptophyta; Magnoliopsida; Cucurbitales; Cucurbitaceae.